This 253-nucleotide ribosomal RNA is filed under the name uncultured bacterium. RNAcentral's name for it is "partial 16S ribosomal RNA". It matches the Rfam family "Bacterial small subunit ribosomal RNA", at positions 524 to 776 of the family's 1533-position model. The record is from RNAcentral.
UACGUAGGGAGCAAGCGUUGUCCGGAAUCAUUGGGCGUAAAGCGCGCGUAGGUGGCCUCAUAAGUCCGCUGUGAAAGUCAAAGGCUCAACCUUUGAAAGCCGGUGGAUACUGUGAGGCUAGAGUACGGAAGAGGCGAGUGGAAUUCCUGGUGUAGCGGUGGAAUGCGCAGAUAUCAGGAGGAAUACCGAUGGCGAAGGCAGGUCUCUGGGCUGACACUGACGCUCAUGCACGAAAGCGUGGGGAGCAAACAGG